GCCUUUGUGGAUUACGGAAGUUGCCUCUUUUCUGUGAAAUGUCGGAGGAUUUAUAGUUUAUUGAGGAAAUGAGGGUUCGACUCCCUCCAGAGGCG
Molecule: non-coding RNA, 95 nt
Organism: Mycena polygramma
Lineage: Eukaryota; Fungi; Basidiomycota; Agaricomycetes; Agaricales; Mycenaceae
Source: the annotation of a GenBank genome assembly